CGUCGCUCUUGGUUUUUUUUAUGGUUUCAGUCUAAAACAUGUCAGACAGAAAUUAACCUGACUAAACCCUACGUGUACUUCCCAAUUUAUCAUCCUCAUCUUUGUUUUUCGUGAAAUAAUUGACAAGCUUCGCUAUUAGUAAAGCAUAAAUUUACUUGUCGGUAUUUUUACUUCGUGGAUACUGUUCCGACAUUCAAGGUACAACAUGUAUAUAUAAAUUG
RNAcentral lists this long non-coding RNA (221 nucleotides) under Mytilus galloprovincialis (Mediterranean mussel). The record is from RNAcentral. Lineage: Eukaryota; Metazoa; Mollusca; Bivalvia; Mytilida; Mytilidae.